GGUCUUUUUACAAUUAAUGUCAAGCUUCCAUUUCUCACAAUAAUUUUCCACAGGUUUAAGAGCAUUACUAAGAGAGAGAGAGAGAGAGAGAGAGAGAGAGAGAGAGAGAGAGAGAGAGAGAGAGAGAGAGAGAGAGAGAGAGAGAGAGAGAGAGAGAGAGAGAGAGAGAGAGAGAGAG
Long non-coding RNA from Portunus trituberculatus (swimming crab), 178 nucleotides. RefSeq lists it as uncharacterized. The record is from RefSeq and is a predicted model, not a curated record. NCBI's taxonomy places the organism in Eukaryota, Metazoa, Arthropoda, Malacostraca, Decapoda, Portunidae. The transcript is spliced from 2 exons.